RNAcentral lists this ribosomal RNA (254 nucleotides) under uncultured bacterium. RNAcentral describes it as "partial 16S ribosomal RNA". It matches the Rfam family "Bacterial small subunit ribosomal RNA", at positions 524 to 776 of the family's 1533-position model. The record is from RNAcentral.
UACGAAGGGGGCUAGCGUUGCUCGGAUUGACUGGGCGUAAAGGGCGCGUAGGCGGUUCGUACAGUCAGACGUGAAAUUCCUGGGCUCAACCUGGGGGCUGCGUUUGAUACGUGCGGACUUGAGUGCGGAAGAGGGUCGUGGAAUUCCCAGUGUAGAGGUGAAAUUCGUAGAUAUUGGGAAGAACACCGGUGGCGAAGGCGGCGACCUGGUCCGAUACUGACGCUGAGGCGCGAAAGCGUGGGGGAGCAAACAGG